Molecule: long non-coding RNA, 456 nt
Filed under: Vulpes vulpes (red fox)
Lineage: Eukaryota; Metazoa; Chordata; Mammalia; Carnivora; Canidae
Description: lncRNA (ENSVVUG00000006075.1)
Source: RNAcentral
AUGAAUGGCUGGAAGGACACACUCUCACUCAGCUUACCUGGUAGCAACUUUGUGACUGCAGUCACUCCGCUCCAUGGCCUUGGAUUCUGUUGGAUUGGACUUUAUCUCCCACCUUUUAUUGCUGAAGAGGGAGGGAAGAACUCAGAAAAUCCAUUUUUUCUUUAUUUGCUUCAAAUGCAAUCAAAGCCUAAGAUAGAGCAGAGAAUCCUGUGCUGCCCAAUAGCUGCUGCUUCUGUAUGGGCCAGAGUACAAUCUCACUGGCGUGGGAAAGGUGCCGCCAGGCUCCUUGGGGCAGGGAUGUUAUCCUUGUCACAGCUGGAAAAGAUGUCAGUUCUUCCUGCUGGCUCUCUUCCCAGAGAUGUGGACAUUCCCAAGAUGUUCUCUCUCCAGUGGCAGCAGAAGGGGCUGCCCUAUGACCGACAGACAUGACUGUUCUCAAAGCAACAUGCUUUGCAG